This 72-nucleotide transfer RNA is filed under the name Heterocephalus glaber (naked mole-rat). It matches the Rfam family "tRNA". Rfam says of the family: Transfer RNA (tRNA) molecules are approximately 80 nucleotides in length. Their secondary structure includes four short double-helical elements and three loops (D, anti-codon, and T loops). The record is from Rfam by way of RNAcentral. Lineage: Eukaryota; Metazoa; Chordata; Mammalia; Rodentia; Bathyergidae.
AGGGGUGUAGCUCAGCAGUAGAGCACUUGCCUAGCAUGUGCAAGAUCCUGGGUUCAAUCCCCAGUACCUCCA